GACGAACGCUGGCGGCGCGCCUAACACAUGCAAGUCGAACGAGCGAGAGAGAGCUUGCUUUCUCGAGCGAGUGGCGAACGGGUGAGUAACGCGUGAGGAACCUGCCUCAAAGAGGGGGACAACAGUUGGAAACGACUGCUAAUACCGCAUAAGCCCACGGUGCCGCAUGGCACAGAGGGAAAAGGAGUAAUCCGCUUUGAGAUGGCCUCGCGUCCGAUUAGCUAGUUGGUGAGGUAACGGCCCACCAAGGCGACGAUCGGUAGCCGGACUGAGAGGUUGAACGGCCACAUUGGGACUGAGACACGGCCCAGACUCCUACGGGAGGCAGCAGUGGGGAAUAUUGCACAAUGGGGGAAACCCUGAUGCAGCGACGCCGCGUGGAGGAAGAAGGUCUUCGGAUUGUAAACUCCUGUUGUUGGGGAAGAUAAUGACGGUACCCAACAAGGAAGUGACGGCUAACUACGUGCCAGCAGCCGCGGUAAAACGUAGGUCACAAGCGUUGUCCGGAAUUACUGGGUGUAAAGGGAGCGCAGGCGGGAAGACAAGUUGGAAGUGAAAUCUAUGGGCUCAACCCAUAAACUGCUUUCAAAACUGUUUUUCUUGAGUAGUGCAGAGGUAGGCGGAAUUCCCGGUGUAGCGGUGGAAUGCGUAGAUAUCGGGAGGAACACCAGUGGCGAAGGCGGCCUACUGGGCACCAACUGACGCUGAGGCUCGAAAGUGUGGGUAGCAAACAGGAUUAGAUACCCUGGUAGUCCACACCGUAAACGAUGAUUACUAGGUGUUGGAGGAUUGACCCCUUCAGUGCCGCAGUUAACACAAUAAGUAAUCCACCUGGGGAGUACGACCGCAAGGUUGAAACUCAAAGGAAUUGACGGGGGCCCGCACAAGCAGUGGAGUAUGUGGUUUAAUUCGACGCAACGCGAAGAACCUUACCAAGUCUUGACAUCCCUUGACAGGCAUAGAAAUAUGUUUUCUCUUCGGAGCAAGGAGACAGGUGGUGCAUGGUUGUCGUCAGCUCGUGUCGUGAGAUGUUGGGUUAAGUCCCGCAACGAGCGCAACCCUUAUGGUCAGUUACUACGCAAGAGGACUCUGGCCAGACUGCCGUUGACAAAACGGAGGAAGGUGGGGAUGACGUCAAAUCAUCAUGCCCUUUAUGACUUGGGCUACACACGUACUACAAUGGCGUUAAACAAAGAGAAGCGAGACCGCGAGGUGGAGCAAAACUCAGAAACAACGUCCCAGUUCGGACUGCAGGCUGCAACUCGCCUGCACGAAGUCGGAAUUGCUAGUAAUCGUGGAUCAGCAUGCCACGGUGAAUACGUUCCCGGGCCUU
RNAcentral lists this ribosomal RNA (1333 nucleotides) under uncultured bacterium. RNAcentral's name for it is "bacterial SSU rRNA". It matches the Rfam family "Bacterial small subunit ribosomal RNA", at positions 28 to 1382 of the family's 1533-position model. The record is from RNAcentral.